RNAcentral lists this ribosomal RNA (253 nucleotides) under uncultured bacterium. Its description in RNAcentral is "partial 16S ribosomal RNA". It matches the Rfam family "Archaeal small subunit ribosomal RNA", at positions 474 to 727 of the family's 1478-position model. The record is from RNAcentral.
UACCAGCCCCCCGAGUGGUCGGGACGAUUAUUGGGCCUAAAGCAUCCGUAGCCGGUCAUGCAAGUCCUCCGUUAAAUCCACCUGCUUAACAGAUGGGCUGCGGAGGAUACUACAAGGCUAGGAGGCGGAAGAGGCAAGCGGUACUCAGUGGGUAGGGGUAAAAUCCUCUGAUCCAUUGAAGACCACCAGUGGCGAAGGCGGCUUGCCAAUACGCGCUCGACGGUGAGGGAUGAAAGCUGGGGGAGCAAACCGG